RNAcentral lists this ribosomal RNA (1368 nucleotides) under Salmonella enterica. RNAcentral describes it as "partial 23S ribosomal RNA". It matches the Rfam family "Bacterial large subunit ribosomal RNA", at positions 1581 to 2925 of the family's 2925-position model. The record is from RNAcentral. Lineage: Bacteria; Pseudomonadati; Pseudomonadota; Gammaproteobacteria; Enterobacterales; Enterobacteriaceae.
GGUGCUGAAGCAACAAAUGCCCUGCUUCCAGGAAAAGCCUCUAAGCAUCAGGUAACAUCAAAUCGUACCCCAAACCGACACAGGUGGUCAGGUAGAGAAUACCAAGGCGCUUGAGAGAACUCGGGUGAAGGAACUAGGCAAAAUGGUGCCGUAACUUCGGGAGAAGGCACGCUGACACGUAGGUGAAGUGAUUUACUCAUGGAGCUGAAGUCAGUCGAAGAUACCAGCUGGCUGCAACUGUUUAUUAAAAACACAGCACUGUGCAAACACGAAAGUGGACGUAUACGGUGUGACGCCUGCCCGGUGCCGGAAGGUUAAUUGAUGGGGUCAGCGCAAGCGAAGCUCCUGAUCGAAGCCCCGGUAAACGGCGGCCGUAACUAUAACGGUCCUAAGGUAGCGAAAUUCCUUGUCGGGUAAGUUCCGACCUGCACGAAUGGCGUAAUGAUGGCCAGGCUGUCUCCACCCGAGACUCAGUGAAAUUGAACUCGCUGUGAAGAUGCAGUGUACCCGCGGCAAGACGGAAAGACCCCGUGAACCUUUACUAUAGCUUGACACUGAACAUUGAGCCUUGAUGUGUAGGAUAGGUGGGAGGCUUUGAAGUGUGGACGCCAGUCUGCAUGGAGCCGACCUUGAAAUACCACCCUUUAAUGUUUGAUGUUCUAACGUGGACCCGUGAUCCGGGUUGCGGACAGUGUCUGGUGGGUAGUUUGACUGGGGCGGUCUCCUCCUAAAGAGUAACGGAGGAGCACGAAGGUUGGCUAAUCCUGGUCGGACAUCAGGAGGUUAGUGCAAUGGCAUAAGCCAGCUUGACUGCGAGCGUGACGGCGCGAGCAGGUGCGAAAGCAGGUCAUAGUGAUCCGGUGGUUCUGAAUGGAAGGGCCAUCGCUCAACGGAUAAAAGGUACUCCGGGGAUAACAGGCUGAUACCGCCCAAGAGUUCAUAUCGACGGCGGUGUUUGGCACCUCGAUGUCGGCUCAUCACAUCCUGGGGCUGAAGUAGGUCCCAAGGGUAUGGCUGUUCGCCAUUUAAAGUGGUACGCGAGCUGGGUUUAGAACGUCGUGAGACAGUUCGGUCCCUAUCUGCCGUGGGCGCUGGAGAACUGAGGGGGGCUGCUCCUAGUACGAGAGGACCGGAGUGGACGCAUCACUGGUGUUCGGGUUGUCAUGCCAAUGGCACUGCCCGGUAGCUAAAUGCGGAAGAGAUAAGUGCUGAAAGCAUCUAAGCACGAAACUUGCCCCGAGAUGAGUUCUCCCUGAGACUUAAAGUCUCCUGAAGGAACGUUGAAGACGACGACGUUGAUAGGCCGGGUGUGUAAGCGCAGCGAUGCGUUGAGCUAACCGGUACUAAUGAACCGUGAGGCUUAACCUU